UUUGAUGUCAAGUCCAAUUUUUAUCUCCAAUUAUGGUUGAUGCAAGCCAUUAAUAGUCAAGCAUGUUAAUCACAACCAUGAAUUUCUUGUUGGUUGACAAAGGUGAUUUUAAUAAUAGCUUGGAACUUCCAUCAAACACCUUGAACUUUGUAUCUUUUAGCCUCAUUGCAUAGUCUUUAUCAUGAAAUUGAUCCAAGAUGAUCAAGUUGCUUUCCAUAAUGGGGAC
This 226-nucleotide long non-coding RNA is filed under the name Lathyrus oleraceus (garden pea). RNAcentral's name for it is "Pisum sativum (pea) long non-coding RNA (PSAT_LNC000170)". The record is from RNAcentral. Lineage: Eukaryota; Viridiplantae; Streptophyta; Magnoliopsida; Fabales; Fabaceae.